GACGAAACGCUGGCGGCGCGCCUAACACAUGCAAGUCGAACGGAGUUAUUUCAGCAGAAGCUUUCGGGUGGACGCAGGGAUAACUUAGUGGCGAACGGGUGAGUAACACGUGAGGAACCUGCCCUGGAGUGGGGGACAACAGUUGGAAACGACUGCUAAUACCGCAUAAGCCCACAGCACCGCAUGGUAGCAGUGGGAAAAGGAGCAAUUCGCUCUGGGAUGGACUCGCGUCCGAUUAGCUGGAUGGUGAGGUAACGGCCCACCAUGGGCGACGAUCGGUAGCCCGGACUGAGAGGUUGAUCGGCCACAUUGGGACUGGAGACACGGCCCAG
RNAcentral lists this ribosomal RNA (332 nucleotides) under uncultured bacterium. Its description in RNAcentral is "bacterial SSU rRNA". It matches the Rfam family "Bacterial small subunit ribosomal RNA", at positions 32 to 334 of the family's 1533-position model. The record is from RNAcentral.